Molecule: ribosomal RNA, 884 nt
Filed under: Phellodon fuligineoalbus
Lineage: Eukaryota; Fungi; Basidiomycota; Agaricomycetes; Thelephorales; Thelephoraceae
Description: eukaryotic LSU rRNA
Rfam family: Eukaryotic large subunit ribosomal RNA
Source: RNAcentral
GCUAACUUGAUUCCCCUAGUAACUGCGAGUGAAGCGUGAGAGCUCAUAUUUAAAAUCUGGCGUGCCUCUGGUCGUCCGAGUUGUAGUCUGGAGAAGCGUUUUCCGUGCUGGACCGUGUACAAGUCCCUUGGAACAGGGCGUCGUAGAGGGUGAGAAUCCCGUCUUUGACACGGACUGCCAGUGCUCUGUGAUGCGCUCUCAAAGAGUCGAGUUGUUUGGGAAUGCAGCUCAAAAUGGGUGGUAAAUUCCAUCUAAAGCUAAAUAUAGGCGAGAGACCGAUAGCGAACAAGUACCGUGAGGGAAAGAUGAAAAGCACUUUGGAAAGAGAGUUAACAGUACGUGAAAUUGCUGAAGGGAAACGCUUGAAGUCAGUCGCGUUCGCAGGACUCAGCUUUGGUGCAAUUCUGGUGGAUGGCCAGCAUCGAUUUGACCGUGAGAAAGUUGGGAAUGUGGAACUUCGUGGGGAUAACCUGUGGCACCUUCGGGUGUGUAUAGCCCUCUGUCGCAUACACCGGUAGGAUCGAGGAUCGCAGCGCGCCUUGUGCCCGGGGCUUUGCCACGUACGCGCUUAGAUGCUGGCGUAAUGGCUUUAAAGCGACCCGUCUUGAAACACGGACCAAGGAGUCUAACAUGCCUGCGAGUGUUUGGGUGGAAAACCCGAGCGCGCAAUGAAAGUGAUAGUUGAGACCUCUGUCAUGGAGGGCAUCGACGCCCGGACUUGAUCUACGGAGACGGUUCCGCGGUAGAGCAUGUAUGUUGGGACCCGAAAGAUGGUGAACUAUGCCUGAAUAGGGUGAAGCCAGAGGAAACUCUGGUGGAGGCUCGUAGCGAUUCUGACGUGCAAAUCGAUCGUCAGAUUUGGGUAUAGGGGCGAAAGACUAAUC